Molecule: unclassified non-coding RNA, 235 nt
Filed under: uncultured fungus
Lineage: Eukaryota; Fungi
Description: sequence contains ITS2
Rfam family: 5.8S ribosomal RNA (bases 1-52)
Source: RNAcentral
AACGCACAUUGCGCCCUGUGGUAUUCCGCAGGGCAUGCCUGUUCGAGCGUCAUUUCAACCCUCAAGCUCUGCUUGGUGUUGGGCCCUGCCCAUUGCGGCCGGCCUCAAAAUCAGUGGCGGCGCCAUCUGGCUCUAAGCGUAGUACAUCUCUCGCUCUAGGGUCCGGUGGUGGCUUGCCAUAACCCCAACUUCUAUGGUUGACCUCGGAUCAGGUAGGGAUACCCGCUGAACUUAA